RNAcentral lists this long non-coding RNA (360 nucleotides) under Medicago truncatula (barrel medic). RNAcentral's name for it is "long non-coding RNA (MTRU_LNC003863)". Lineage: Eukaryota; Viridiplantae; Streptophyta; Magnoliopsida; Fabales; Fabaceae. The record is from RNAcentral.
AAGAGUAUAUCUUUCCAAAAAUCAUUUGAAUAGUCUGGAUAUUAUUGAUGAUGCAUCUCUACCAACCUUACAAUUUCUAGAUCUCAGUUUUAACCAAAUGAAAGGAUCACUACCACUAUUUGAGAAGACUAAACUUGCCUCAUUAAAAUCACUACAUCUCUCCCACAAUCAGUUGAGUGGUGUGAAUAUCAUUGAUGAUGCAUCUCUACCAACAAUACAAUUUCUAGAUCUCAGUUUUAACCAAAUCAAUGGAUCAUUACCACUAUUUGAGAUUACUAAACUUUCCUCAUUAAAAAGAAUUGAUAUCUCCCAUAAUCAGUUGAGCGGGCCGUUUCCACAUACAAUUGGCCAACUUUUUGG